Molecule: ribosomal RNA, 440 nt
Filed under: uncultured bacterium
Lineage: Bacteria
Description: partial 16S ribosomal RNA
Rfam family: Bacterial small subunit ribosomal RNA
Source: RNAcentral
CCUACGGGUGGCAGCAGUGGGGAAUAUUGCACAAUGGGGGCAACCCUGAUGCAGCAACGCCGCGUGAGUGAAGAAGUAUUUCGUUAUGUAAAGCUCUAUCACCAGGGACGAAAAUGACGGUACCCGAGUAAGAAGCCCCGGCUAACUACGUGCCAGCAGCCGCGGGAAUACGUAGGGGGCAAGCGUUAUCCGGAUUUACUGGGUGGAAAGGGAGCGUAGACGGGUGUGCAAGUCUGGAGUGAAAGGCGGGGGCUCAACCCCCGGACUGCUGUGGAAACUGUACGGCUGGAGUGCAGGAGAGGUAAGUGGAAGUCCUAGUGUAGCGGUGAAAUGCGUAGAUAUUAGGAGGAACACCAGUGGCGAAGGCGGCUUACUGGACUGUAACUGACGUUGAGGCUCGAAAGCGUGGGGAGCAAACAGGAUUAGAUACCCCGGUAGUC